UAAGCGACUAAGCGUACACGGUGGAUGCCCUGGCAGUCAGAGGCGAUGAAGGACGUGCUAAUCUGCGAUAAGCGUCGGUAAGGUGAUAUGAACCGUUAUAACCGGCGAUUUCCGAAUGGGGAAACCCAGUGUGAUUCGUCACACUAUCAUUAACUGAAUCCAUAGGUUAAUGAGGCGAACCGGGGGAACUGAAACAUCUAAGUACCCCGAGGAAAAGAAAUCAACCGAGAUUCCCCCAGUAGCGGCGAGCGAACGGGGAGCAGCCCAGAGCCUGAAUCAGUGUGUGUGUUAGUGGAAGCGUCUGGAAAGGCGCGCGAUACAGGGUGACAGCCCCGUACACAAAAAUGCACAUACUGUGAGCUCGAUGAGUAGGGCGGGACACGUGGUAUCCUGUCUGAAUAUGGGGGGACCAUCCUCCAAGGCUAAAUACUCCUGACUGACCGAUAGUGAACCAGUACCGUGAGGGAAAGGCGAAAAGAACCCCGGCGAGGGGAGUGAAAAAGACCUGAAACCGUGUACGUACAAGCAGUGGGAGCCUCUUUUAUGGUGUGACUGCGUACCUUUUGUAUAAUGGGUCAGCGACUUAUAUUCUGUAGCAAGGUUAACCGAAUAGGGGAGCCGAAGGGAAACCGAGUCUUAACCGGGCGUUAAGUUGCAGGGUAUAGACCCGAAACCCGGUGAUCUAGCCAUGGGCAGGUUGAAGGUUGGGUAACACUAACUGGAGGACCGAACCGACUAAUGUUGAAAAAUUAGCGGAUGACUUGUGGCUGGGGGUGAAAGGCCAAUCAAACCGGGAGAUAGCUGGUUCUCCCCGAAAGCUAUUUAGGUAGCGCCUCGUGAAUUCAUCUCCGGGGGUAGAGCACUGUUUCGGCAAGGGGGUCAUCCCGACUUACCAACCCGAUGCAAACUGCGAAUACCGGAGAAUGUUAUCACGGGAGACACACGGCGGGUGCUAACGUCCGUCGUGAAGAGGGAAACAACCCAGACCGCCAGCUAAGGUCCCAAAGUCAUGGUUAAGUGGGAAACGAUGUGGGAAGGCCCAGACAGCCAGGAUGUUGGCUUAGAAGCAGCCAUCAUUUAAAGAAAGCGUAAUAGCUCACUGGUCGAGUCGGCCUGCGCGGAAGAUGUAACGGGGCUAAACCAUGCACCGAAGCUGCGGCAGCGACACUGUGUGUUGUUGGGUAGGGGAGCGUUCUGUAAGCCUGUGAAGGUGUACUGUGAGGUAUGCUGGAGGUAUCAGAAGUGCGAAUGCUGACAUAAGUAACGAUAAAGCGGGUGAAAAGCCCGCUCGCCGGAAGACCAAGGGUUCCUGUCCAACGUUAAUCGGGGCAGGGUGAGUCGACCCCUAAGGCGAGGCCGAAAGGCGUAGUCGAUGGGAAACAGGUUAAUAUUCCUGUACUUGGUGUUACUGCGAAGGGGGGACGGAGAAGGCUAUGUUGGCCGGGCGACGGUUGUCCCGGUUUAAGCGUGUAGGCUGGUUUUCCAGGCAAAUCCGGAAAAUCAAGGCUGAGGCGUGAUGACGAGGCACUACGGUGCUGAAGCAACAAAUGCCCUGCUUCCAGGAAAAGCCUCGAAGCAUCAGGUAACAUCAAAUCGUACCCCAAACCGACACAGGUGGUCAGGUAGAGAAUACCAAGGCGCUUGAGAGAACUCGGGUGAAGGAACUAGGCAAAAUGGUGCCGUAACUUCGGGAGAAGGCACGCUGAUAUGUAGGUGAAGUCCCUCGCGGAUGGAGCUGAAAUCAGUCGAAGAUACCAGCUGGCUGCAACUGUUUAUUAAAAACACAGCACUGUGCAAACACGAAAGUGGACGUAUACGGUGUGACGCCUGCCCGGUGCCGGAAGGUUAAUUGAUGGGGUCAGCGCAAGCGAAGCUCUUGAUCGAAGCCCCGGUAAACGGCGGCCGUAACUAUAACGGUCCUAAGGUAGCGAAAUUCCUUGUCGGGUAAGUUCCGACCUGCACGAAUGGCGUAAUGAUGGCCAGGCUGUCUCCACCCGAGACUCAGUGAAAUUGAACUCGCUGUGAAGAUGCAGUGUACCCGCGGCAAGACGGAAAGACCCCGUGAACCUUUACUAUAGCUUGACACUGAACAUUGAGCCUUGAUGUGUAGGAUAGGUGGGAGGCUUUGAAGUGUGGACGCCAGUCUGCAUGGAGCCGACCUUGAAAUACCACCCUUUAAUGUUUGAUGUUCUAACGUGGACCCGUGAUCCGGGUUGCGGACAGUGUCUGGUGGGUAGUUUGACUGGGGCGGUCUCCUCCUAAAGAGUAACGGAGGAGCACGAAGGUUGGCUAAUCCUGGUCGGACAUCAGGAGGUUAGUGCAAUGGCAUAAGCCAGCUUGACUGCGAGCGUGACGGCGCGAGCAGGUGCGAAAGCAGGUCAUAGUGAUCCGGUGGUUCUGAAUGGAAGGGCCAUCGCUCAACGGAUAAAAGGUACUCCGGGGAUAACAGGCUGAUACCGCCCAAGAGUUCAUAUCGACGGCGGUGUUUGGCACCUCGAUGUCGGCUCAUCACAUCCUGGGGCUGAAGUAGGUCCCAAGGGUAUGGCUGUUCGCCAUUUAAAGUGGUACGCGAGCUGGGUUUAGAACGUCGUGAGACAGUUCGGUCCCUAUCUGCCGUGGGCGCUGGAGAACUGAGGGGGGCUGCUCCUAGUACGAGAGGACCGGAGUGGACGCAUCACUGGUGUUCGGGUUGUCAUGCCAAUGGCACUGCCCGGUAGCUAAAUGCGGAAGAGAUAAGUGCUGAAAGCAUCUAAGCACGAAACUUGCCCCGAGAUGAGUUCUCCCUGACCCUUUAAGGGUCCUGAAGGAACGUUGAAGACGACGACGUUGAUAGGCCGGGUGUGUAAGCGCAGCGAUGCGUUGAGCUAACCGGUACUAAUGAACCGUGAGGCUUAACCU
RNAcentral lists this ribosomal RNA (2898 nucleotides) under Escherichia coli DEC4A. RNAcentral's name for it is "bacterial LSU rRNA". It matches the Rfam family "Bacterial large subunit ribosomal RNA". The record is from RNAcentral. Lineage: Bacteria; Pseudomonadati; Pseudomonadota; Gammaproteobacteria; Enterobacterales; Enterobacteriaceae.